Molecule: ribosomal RNA, 201 nt
Filed under: uncultured Pelagophyceae
Lineage: Eukaryota; Pelagophyceae
Description: partial Bacterial large subunit ribosomal RNA
Rfam family: Bacterial large subunit ribosomal RNA
Source: RNAcentral
CUUAUCGGCUUACCGAAAUCAGCCAAACUCCGAAUGCUGGCAAGUGUAGCGUGGCAGUGAGACGGCGGGGGAUAAGCUUCGUCGUCGAGAGGGAAACAGCCCAGAUCAUCAGCUAAGGCCCCUAAGUGGUGACUCAGUGGGAAAGGAUGUGGAGUUGCGUAGACAACCAGGAGGUUGGCUUGGAAGCAGCCAUCCUUGAAA